RNAcentral lists this ribosomal RNA (450 nucleotides) under uncultured bacterium. RNAcentral's name for it is "SSU rRNA". It matches the Rfam family "Bacterial small subunit ribosomal RNA", at positions 26 to 518 of the family's 1533-position model. The record is from RNAcentral.
AGAGCGAACGCUGGCGGCAGGCUUAACACAUGCAAGUCGAGCGGGCGUAGCAAUACGUCAGCGGCAGACGGGUGAGUAACGCGUGGGAACGUACCUUUUGGUUCGGAACAACACAGGGAAACUUGUGCUAAUACCGGAUAAGCCCUUACGGGGAAAGAUUUAUCACCAAAAGAUCGGCCCGCGUCUGAUUAGCUAGUUGGUGAGGUAACGGCUCACCAAGGCGACGAUCAGUAGCUGGUCUGAGAGGAUGAUCAGCCACAUUGGGACUGAGACACGGCCCAAACUCCUACGGGAGGCAGCAGUGGGGAAUAUUGGACAAUGGGCGCAAGCCUGAUCCAGCCAUGCCGCGUGAGUGAUGAAGGCCCUAGGGGUUGUAAAGCUUCUUUUGUGCGGGAAGAUAAUGACGGUACCGCAAGAAUAAGCCCCGGCUAACUUCGCGCCAGCAGCCGC